This 254-nucleotide ribosomal RNA is filed under the name uncultured bacterium. RNAcentral's name for it is "partial 16S ribosomal RNA". It matches the Rfam family "Bacterial small subunit ribosomal RNA", at positions 524 to 776 of the family's 1533-position model. The record is from RNAcentral.
UACGGGGGGAGCAAGCGUUGUUCGGAUUUACUGGGCGUAAAGGGCGCGUAGGCGGCCACCGCAAGUCAGUUGUGAAAUCUCUGGGCUUAACCCAGAAAGGUCAACUGAUACUGCGGGGCUAGAGUGCAGAAGGGGCAACUGGAAUUCUUGGUGUAGCGGUGAAAUGCGUAGAUAUCAAGAGGAACACCGGAGGUGAAGACGGGUUGCUGGGCUGACACUGACGCUGAGGCGCGAAAGCUAGGGUAGCAAACGGG